Eriocheir sinensis (Chinese mitten crab) is the source of this 2967-nucleotide long non-coding RNA. RefSeq lists it as uncharacterized. Lineage: Eukaryota; Metazoa; Arthropoda; Malacostraca; Decapoda; Varunidae. The transcript is spliced from 2 exons. The record is from RefSeq and is a predicted model, not a curated record.
CACAACAGUCUGUACUAUGGGUUCUAUAUCCUAGUCAUCCCAAGUGCUAUUGAAUAAUAUUGCCUUUAGACAUUUUUUUACACUAGUUGGCGCUUGAGUGCUGUGUUUAGAGCACUACUGGAUACCACUUUUUGUGCACUUCCACUACCGUAACAUAAGUCCGCUGUGUUGACCACCGUUAGGCACGGGAGACUCUGCUCCUCUCGGGCCAAGGCGGGCAGCCACGGAUGCCCCACUGUGGAGGCAUCCUGGCCAAGCCUUGCACGGCCCGGCCCGGGCCAGCCCAGCUCUGCUCAUUGCCAGCGUGGCGGUGACGUGCGCUGAGGCCACUGCCGGCAGCCAAACAUUGAUAUUAAAUUGCUGUUGGGAUUAUUCGGCCAUGUGAGAAACUGUAUAAAGGUCCUACACUGAUGUCUUUCACUUUGUUCUUGUAAACUAUAUUGAUAGGAAUCAUGAAUCUCGUCUUCACUACCUAACCCCACAUUCUUGCUUCCAAACACCGAUCACGGCUCCACCUUCUCACAACUUAUUCCCACACACGUUACUUUCACUGAACAAAAAAGCACAACAGCAUAGUGAUAUUACCUUUCUCCUUGUACCCUAUUUUUUAGAAGAGUUAAAACAGCAGUUAAAGACAUUCAUUUGGCCGUGGCUGUGGCGUCACCGCACAUAACCCCCGCGCUGCUGUCCCGCUGUGGGCCGGCGCUGCGUCUCCACCACCCACUCGGUCCCAGGAGUGUCCCGAGGCAGCCAAUGCAGCUCAUGACACUCCACAAAAUUCCAGGGACGGCAAAAACCCCACAGAAACUCUUAUCUCUUUGCUCGUGUCACUCGCGUCCUCGGAGGGAGUGUGUCGGGCAAUCUCGUCUUAGUUGGUUUACAUAGGUUUAGUUUUAUUUUGGUGCUCUGGCAAUGAUGACCAGGAGGGUUUGUUUCUCGGAGGAAUGUAUUGUAAAGAAUUGUAUGAGAGAACGUGUCUGGGGUUGAAGAGGUUUGAGAAAUUUCUGCAUAUUAGUGUGAUGGGUCUUGUAGGGGAGAUGGUAUGGAUUGGAUAGCUUGUUUAAUACCUGAAUUAGUCUCCCCUUACAAACAGGUGAUAGUGUAGUGGAAAAGGAGUGUGUUAGGCCUCAAGAAGUGUGUAUUAGUGUCAAGGUUGCAAUGGGGUGAGAAAUUACGAAGUGGUUAGCCUGAUCAGUGCUUCAAAUAGCCCCAUACAACCAGGCAUUAGACUAGCGAAAUGGGUUUCUUUGUGGCGCUGAGAACUACUGUAUAGCGUAAUGGGUCUUGUGAGGUGAAAUAUAUUAGUGUAAAGGUUGCUAUGGGGUGAGAAAUGAUGGAGUGGAUAACCUAAUCAAUGCUUCAAAUAGCCCCAUACAACCAGGCAUUAGUCUAGUGAAGGGGGUGUGUUUAUGGCACUAAGAACUGCCGUAUAGCGUAAUUGGUCUUGUGAGGUGAAAUACUAUGGAGUUGAUCCCUUAUUCAAUGCCCAGAACCCCCUUGAAACUCAUUAUAAGUAGCCCUUAGUCCUUUGAGAGUCUAGCGAGGAAAAUGCAGCCCGAGUAACGCAUUUUGCCAGAGUCACCCAAGUCAAUCUCAUGUUACCAGUCAACGCACAGCUCACCCGCUCACCCGCCAGCCUUAAGACUAGUCCCGGGUGAGGCAGCGACCCCACCCAUCACACUCGCUGCCCAAACGUGCGGGUGAAAGAGUGGAGAGUACACACCUGCGCCUGUCUCUACAUUCUGAGGGUUGGGUUUUUAGUGAAGGUGUUUCCUCUGAAUUGUUGAAAGUGCAGUGAAUUUGAGGUUGAGUUUUGUUAAUUGGUGCAGGUGAAGUGUGUCCCAGGUAGAGUUUGUUUGUUAACCCGGUAGCUGCAGGGAUCAUGUUUCUUAAAGGCCCCUCUAAGCGAGAAAAAUGAGAAAAAAACAUCACUCACGCAAACCAUUUCAUAAUAUAUAUCAACGCAUUUGUGAUCAGUUUAUGCAUCAUCUAUUUUGGGGGGUUUAUAUCAUGGCAAAAAUUUGGCCUGGCGCUGGUACACGGUAAAGUCACAAAUUUGGCCCAUCGCUGCUACCGGGUUAAAUUUUCUUAAUUUUCUUUUAUUCCUCAUUUUGUGUAACUUCUCUGAGCAACUUUUUUUACGAGUUAUUUUCUUUGCAACUUUUUAGUGUACCUAUUUUUGUUGCUGUUUUUUGUUUUGAAUUUGUCCUUGAGUGCAAAUUGGAAAGGUAUUUAUGAACUGGAGAACCAACUUUAACUUUUUUUAAUCUUUGUGUCUUUAAAAAUAUUCUUGGUGGUGACAAUUGACGAGGAAACACCUUUUAGUAUACCAUUCAUUACCUUUGUUACCCACUCAGCAUUUAUUAACCAACUACCUAUGUAUAUAAUUUCUCUCAUAUCCUCAUUACCUGUGUUUGUGGCAAGGCUUAUGUUAAGUUCCGCGAGACUCCGUUGGAAGGUAAAAAAGUAAUACCGACACGAUAUUUUUGUACCGCCCCGUGAUAGCGAAUAACACACAAGCUUCUUACACUAAACCUAAGUCGAUGUGUUGAUAUUUUAGUUCGUAUCUUUCUCUCUGUGGAGGUUUGAGGCUUGUCCCAAAAACCAGUGCAAAUCAUAGGCAUUUCCCAUAGCUACUGCAUUUACAGAACACCCCUAGCUCAUUGCCUAGACUAAUCAUAUGUACAAUUAAAUAUAUUAGACGAAAAAAAGAUGUGAUUAUAUAUAGACAAAUUAUUAUCCAUAUGAAAGUAUAUGUGAAGAUUUGACGAGACUACUAUAGCGUUUAUUUUGGAUUGGCGACAGUGCAGAGUUAAAAAUUGUAGGUGAACGAGACAUCCGCCGAGAGAGAUGAUGAUGUGUGUGUAAAUAUACGACUAGACGAGGAUGUUGCUUUGUCAUUUUUGUAUCAUAACAGGGAAGUAUAUGAACCACCGUAGCCAUUGAAUAAAAAUAAUAGAUGAUGAA